RNAcentral lists this long non-coding RNA (1573 nucleotides) under Homo sapiens (human). RNAcentral describes it as "HSALNT0338336". The record is from RNAcentral. Lineage: Eukaryota; Metazoa; Chordata; Mammalia; Primates; Hominidae.
AGUGACGGUUAUUCCUCCUGCGCGGGAGCUUUGGGGACGCACUUCUGGAUGCCUAGGCCUCUUCCGUUUGCCUCUGGGACUGGCGAUACUCGAGAUGUCUUGAGGCCUUCCAGACCUUGCUCCACCUCCACCACCAGGUCUCCAGUCCUGAGCCACAUGCUGCCAUUUUUGUCUCAGAAGCACCCCUCUUCCAGGUGGAAGAUUGAAGGUCUGAAGAGUGGGAAGUCCCAGGAACAGGCAAUUCCAGGAAGAUAUGAGGAAAAUCAAGAAAGAGAAGGAAACUGAAGCUAGUGGGAAGUGCUUCAAGUUGGAGAUGAUGCUGAGAUGGCCAAAAAGUGAGAGGUGGAAAACAUUUGGAUUUUCAAACCUGAGUGAAUGAAUGAAUAAACGGACCUGGGAAUUGAUCAACAAUGGCUGCUGCAUCGCGUAAAGAGAGACGACCAGGUGUCAGCUGGCUGUCAACUGAUCUAGGAUGGUCUUGGAGGGACAACGAGGGCAACCCCAUGUCUCUUCUUUAGCAGGCCAGCCCAGACAUGCUUUCAUGGCUGAAUAGGAGCCAGCCUGGUCAUGGGAGCAAUUUUCAAGCAAGUCUCUGCUUGAAUGUCACAUUUACUAACAUCCUGUUGGCCAAGGUGCAUCCCAUGGCUGAGCCCAGUGUCCAAGUGAAAGGGCACCAGGAAGUUCCCUGCAGCGCUGUGGGUACUGGAAGAAUGGGCGCCAUCUUCAUGACAGCAGCAUGCUAAGUUACAGAAAGUGAGCGGCGUUCUAGACAAAGCAAGCUCAUCUGUGAAUGGAUCAUGGCGGAAACCUGACCACAGUAUGUUGGGAUUUAUGUGUUUGACAUUUUCUAUAAUAGAAAGGCAGAUCAAAAAUAAGGCUCCAGUGCCUCCACUCAGGAAAGCUCAAGUAGGUUUUCUUGAGAAUUUUUAGUGGAUACCCUGUUUUGCAAUGUUCUUUUCUUUUUCUAAUGAGGCUGAACCAGAUUGUAAUGCCAUGAGGCUUCUACAUGGAGAGCUGGACGUUGGUGAGGAUUGGGUGGAGAAGGCCGGGUGGAGGCUGGGCCUGGGAGAAGAGCAGCAGAUUCCCAAACGUACUGGUAUUGGUGCAUACUCUGAGAAAGACAUCUCAGAGCACUUCUGCCGUCAGUUACGAAGUUUCAAUAUAAGAAUUCUUUCUACACAUGCCUGCCUGUCUUUUCUUGUGACGCUUUGACAGAAGAAUUGUUUUCCUUAUGUGUCACAUACUAUACGGUUAGACACUAACACAUGUUUGUUUGAGCAUAUGACAAUUUCAACCUGACAAGCUUGAGGCUUUCCUUCUCCUCUCUCUCUUUCUUUCCUUCCUUCCUUUCAUGCACUUAUUUUAGAAAUAUGUAUGAAACUUCUCUUAGAGGCAGGCUCUGUGCUAGGUACUCGCGAUAAAAGGGUAAACUGAAAAACAGAUCUAAUUGAGUCUAGAACUUGUUAUUUCAAGCUGAAAUUCAUAAUGCAUGCAAAAACUCUAUGACAGCUUAGGUCCACCAGGACACUCUUUUUAUGAUAUUUAACAACAGAAAUUCAGUGCAAAGUCUUCU